AAUGUUUUUAAAAAAACAAAACAAAGUUAGUACACAUGCCAUAUUAAAAAUCAGAAUCUGACAUUAUCUCCAUGAGAGAAACUGAUUUUGGGCAUGCAGAUGCCUUGUCACAGCAGCGA
Molecule: long non-coding RNA, 119 nt
Organism: Melanotaenia boesemani (Boeseman's rainbowfish)
Lineage: Eukaryota; Metazoa; Chordata; Actinopteri; Atheriniformes; Melanotaeniidae
Exons: 3
Source: RefSeq, a predicted model, not a curated record